This 76-nucleotide transfer RNA is filed under the name Gammaproteobacteria bacterium. Its description in RNAcentral is "tRNA-Arg". It matches the Rfam family "tRNA". From Rfam's summary of the family: Transfer RNA (tRNA) molecules are approximately 80 nucleotides in length. Their secondary structure includes four short double-helical elements and three loops (D, anti-codon, and T loops). Further hydrogen bonds mediate the characteristic L-shaped molecular structure. tRNAs have two regions of fundamental functional importance: the anti-codon, which is responsible for specific mRNA codon recognition, and the 3' end, to which the tRNAs corresponding amino acid is attached (by aminoacyl-tRNA synthetases). tRNAs cope with the degeneracy of the genetic code in two manners: having more than one tRNA (with a specific anti-codon) for a particular amino acid; and 'wobble' base-pairing, i.e. permitting non-standard base-pairing at the 3rd anti-codon position. Lineage: Bacteria; Pseudomonadati; Pseudomonadota; Gammaproteobacteria. The record is from RNAcentral.
GUCCCCGUGGUGUAACGGAAAUCACACGCCCCUUACGAAGGCCGAGAUGUGGGUUCGACUCCCGCCGGGGACGCCA